GGACAGCCUCCACAAUGGAAAUUGGGCUGAACUGGAUCUUUAUUCUGACUAUUUUCCAAGGUGUCCAGUGUGAUAUUCAGUUGGUGGAGUCUGGGGGUGAUGUGAAACAGCCUGGGGAAUCUCUGAGUCUCUCCUGUAAAGCUUCUGGAUUUACCUUCAGCAACUUUUGGAUGCACUGGGUCCGCCAGGCUCCAGGGAAGGGGCUGGAGUGGAUCUCAACAAUUAAGUAUGAUAGCAGUGCAAAAUAUUACGCAGAUUCAGUGAAAGGACGAUUCACCAUUUCCAGGGACAAUGGCAACAGCCUGCUGCACCUGCAAAUGAAUUCCCUUAAAGCUGAGGACACAGCCAUGUAUUACUGUGCAAAAGACACAGUGAGGAAAAGUAGUUUCUGGGACUUCUGGAUUGUUAGGGGAACUUUGACCUCACUUUUAGCCAGUGGAUCAGUGGCAGCGGAAUGCUUCAGGGGACAUGUCUUUGGGGGCCCUGUGAUCACCAUUGCCAACAGUUACACGUGCCAUCUUGUGGUCAGUUAG
Molecule: non-coding RNA, 533 nt
Organism: Gracilinanus agilis (Agile Gracile Mouse Opossum)
Lineage: Eukaryota; Metazoa; Chordata; Mammalia; Didelphimorphia; Didelphidae
Source: the annotation of a RefSeq genome assembly